GAAGGUGUGCUGUGAGGCAUGCUGGAGGUAUCAGAAGUGCGAAUGCUGACAUAAGUAACGAUAAAGCGGGUGAAAAGCCCGCUCGCCGGAAGACCAAGGGUUCCUGUCCAACGUUAAUCGGGGCAGGGUGAGUCGACCCCUAAGGCGAGGCCGAAAGGCGUAGUCGAUGGGAAACAGGUUAAUAUUCCUGUACUUGGUGUUACUGCGAAGGGGGGACGGAGAAGGCUAUGUUGGCCGGGCGACGGUUGUCCCGGUUUAAGCGUGUAGGCUGGUUUUCCAGGCAAAUCCGGAAAAUCAAGGCUGAGGCGUGAUGACGAGGCACUACGGUGCUGAAGCAACAAAUGCCCUGCUUCCAGGAAAAGCCUCUAAGCAUCAGGUAACAUCAAAUCGUACCCCAAACCGACACAGGUGGUCAGGUAGAGAAUACCAAGGCGCUUGAGAGAACUCGGGUGAAGGAACUAGGCAAAAUGGUGCCGUAACUUCGGGAGAAGGCACGCUGACACGUAGGUGAAGUGAUUUACUCAUGGAGCUGAAGUCAGUCGAAGAUACCAGCUGGCUGCAACUGUUUAUUAAAAACACAGCACUGUGCAAACACGAAAGUGGACGUAUACGGUGUGACGCCUGCCCGGUGCCGGAAGGUUAAUUGAUGGGGUCAGCGCAAGCGAAGCUCCUGAUCGAAGCCCCGGUAAACGGCGGCCGUAACUAUAACGGUCCUAAGGUAGCGAAAUUCCUUGUCGGGUAAGUUCCGACCUGCACGAAUGGCGUAAUGAUGGCCAGGCUGUCUCCACCCGAGACUCAGUGAAAUUGAACUCGCUGUGAAGAUGCAGUGUACCCGCGGCAAGACGGAAAGACCCCGUGAACCUUUACUAUAGCUUGACACUGAACAUUGAGCCUUGAUGUGUAGGAUAGGUGGGAGGCUUUGAAGUGUGGACGCCAGUCUGCAUGGAGCCGACCUUGAAAUACCACCCUUUAAUGUUUGAUGUUCUAACGUGGACCCGUUACCCGGGUUGCGGACAGUGUCUGGUGGGUAGUUUGACUGGGGCGGUCUCCUCCUAAAGAGUAACGGAGGAGCACGAAGGUUGGCUAAUCCUGGUCGGACAUCAGGAGGUUAGUGCAAUGGCAUAAGCCAGCUUGACUGCGAGCGUGACGGCGCGAGCAGGUGCGAAAGCAGGUCAUAGUGAUCCGGUGGUUCUGAAUGGAAGGGCCAUCGCUCAACGGAUAAAAGGUACUCCGGGGAUAACAGGCUGAUACCGCCCAAGAGUUCAUAUCGACGGCGGUGUUUGGCACCUCGAUGUCGGCUCAUCACAUCCUGGGGCUGAAGUAGGUCCCAAGGGUAUGGCUGUUCGCCAUUUAAAGUGGUACGCGAGCUGGGUUUAGAACGUCGUGAGACAGUUCGGUCCCUAUCUGCCGUGGGCGCUGGAGAACUGAGGGGGGCUGCUCCUAGUACGAGAGGACCGGAGUGGACGCAUCACUGGUGUUCGGGUUGUCAUGCCAAUGGCACUGCCCGGUAGCUAAAUGCGGAAGAGAUAAGUGCUGAAAGCAUCUAAGCACGAAACUUGCCCCGAGAUGAGUUCUCCCUGAGACUUAGAGUCUCCUGAAGGAACGUUGAAGACGACGACGUUGAUAGGCCGGGUGUGUAAGCGCAGCGAUGCGUUGAGCUAACCGGUACUAAUGAACCGUGAGGCUUAACCUUACAA
Molecule: ribosomal RNA, 1697 nt
Filed under: Salmonella enterica subsp. enterica
Lineage: Bacteria; Pseudomonadati; Pseudomonadota; Gammaproteobacteria; Enterobacterales; Enterobacteriaceae
Description: partial 23S ribosomal RNA
Rfam family: Bacterial large subunit ribosomal RNA
Source: RNAcentral